This is a non-coding RNA of Cyanistes caeruleus (blue tit), 1904 nucleotides long. The record is from RefSeq and is a predicted model, not a curated record. Lineage: Eukaryota; Metazoa; Chordata; Aves; Passeriformes; Paridae.
CCCCUCAGACCCCUCAUAUCCCUCAGACCCCUCAGGUCCCACACCACCCCUCGCCCCUCCUGUCACCCCACGUAUCCUCAUACCUGCACCUCCUCCUUCUCUCAGCCGGUCCCACAGCCUCACAGUCCCCACACCCCCCGUCGCCCCCCGACCCGUCCCCUCUCACAGCCCGCCGAGCAGCACCUCCGGUGCAGCGAGCAGAGAAACAACCCACCGAAGACCCUCUUCAUCACCACACUGCUUCCAGGCACCCAGGGCAAGGGUUUAAUGGGGUUGAGAGCAAGCUAAGCCCAAGGAGAUGCUUCCCUCAGGUGUGACCAAGUUUGACUUUGCAAUAAUUCCUGGUUAUUUUCACAGGCUAAAACCCUGUGAAAUUUCAAAGCACAAAGACACUUGGUUUCCAUGCAAGCUUAGGACACCUUCGCACAAACAUAGUUUGCUUGAGGCUGGAAGGGAUCUCUGGAGCUCAUGCAGUCCAAGCCUCCUGAUCACCCAGGAACAGCUAGAAGUCACCUGCCACCAUUUCUUUAAUGUCUCUAAGGAUAGAGACUCCAUAACAUUUCUGGGCAGUCUGUGCCCAUGCUUGGUCAUCCUCACAGAGAAAAAGAGUUUCCUGGGAUUCAGAGGGAGAGCCUUAAUUGAGUUUGUGCCCGUUGGCUCUUUCCCUGUCCCUGAGUGCUGCUGGGAAGGGUCCAGCUCUGUCCUGCUUGUUCUGCUCUCAGGUACUGGUGUGCAGCACUGAGACCCCUUCUGGACAUUCUCUGUUCCAGGCUAACCAGGAGCGGCUGUCUGAGCCUCUUCACUUCUGACAAAGGUCCUGCGGGCAUCUUCUGGGAGACAGUGCCAGAGGCUGUGCUGAAAUCCAGGUGGGCACUGUCCACAGCCUUGCCUUGGGCCACUCGGGUCAUCGCAGGAGGGCUGUGGGUUGCUCAAGCACCGCUUCCCCUCGGAGCAGCCAGCCUGGCACUUCCCAUCACUGAGCCGGGCACUUCUGUUGCUGGGUGCCCGUGGUGGUGCUUAUGGAGCGUUCUCACAUCUGUGAGUGACAGGACUCCCCGAUGGUCCCCAGACUCCAAGGGUAUUUCCUCAGAGCGCAGCUCGCAGGGUGUCCUCGCCAACGCUGCUCGGCACAGGGGCUGUGUGAGACCCUGCAGGAGGGUCAGGCUGCCCCACUGACCCCAUGUCAGCACACAGUGACACUCACCAGGUGAGUGCAGCACACCAGCACGGCAGCUGAGGGUAAACUGACAGCCAAACAAGCCACCACAGUCCUGCAAUGAGCAGCGAGUCACAGCACAGCAUCCAGCUGCACAGGACUGAUUUCGGCAUCACAGGAGAGAGAAGGUUCCAGGAGCAAUGUGAAGGGGAUUUGUGCCUUGCUAUUUUUUAAAAGUGCACGUCAGGAUCAAUGAAAAGCCUUCAUGACUAAGAGCUGGAUAAAUGGUAUGAAUAAGCCACUAAGACAAACAACAUUCCAAGGGCAGGUUCCUCAGUUACUCUUUAACCUUCUAUUUCAAAAACUAAGUUGGGAGAAUGUCCACAGAUGUUUUGGGGUUUUUUUGCCUGCAGUAGGAUUCUAAUUAUCUUUGUUUCUUUCCCUCUCUACCUCAUCCACAUUCUUAAUACUCAGUCUUUGCCAUGCAGCCUCAGAAAGGCAUGUGUACUGAGCACCCACUCUUCAGUUUACUGCUCUUCAUAGUCCUGCUGUUGGGCUAAUUCUGUGAGAUGGAGAGGCAGUGUACACUCGUGUAUAUACCAGCACUCCUGCUGCUGAAACAGUACCACUUCUGUAGUUCUUGCAGCUCUAAAUGUCCCCUUUCUUAUUCCUCCUUCCAUCCUUGCCUGCAUUGUGCUGUUGAGCUUGAUAGCCAACAUGAAUCAUUGACCAAAAAAAAAAAAAAAAA